CUCCUCCAUGGUGAAGGAUUCUGGUAAGGUCUCAGGCUUGGAACCUUUCGUCGACGUUGACGAGGCAAAGCGAUUGGCCAAGGAGGCGGAAUGGAUGCGGUUUCUGCGGCAGAUGGCACGAGAGAAGAAACAAAACGAUCGGCAGCGGGUACUGCAAGAUACUGUCCUCGACUUCGAUCCCAAGCAAGGGGGCUGAGUACUACACCAGAUUUACCUUCGCCGACCUCACAAAAUUCGAUCUUGACGAGGAGUCGCCCCUUGGUCCGAUGAGAUUUACUGAUGCUGUCUACAAAAAUAAGGACGACUAUGAGCUGUGUGAGGGGAUAAACAUCUUCUGUCAGAAUAACCACCUCGGAUGUUGGCUUCCCUAUCAAUGUGUAUGGCACUGUCAUUGCCAAAGACAGUCUGGACAAGAGGUGUGUUUAUCUCUUCCGCCGGGAGAGAGAUCAGUGCCAACUCAUCAACUCUGAGGUCCAAAACGAGGACUCACAUUGAUAGGUCCGAACUACGUCGAGAUUGAUUUAAAGUUUAUGGAUCAUCAAGGGUAGGACAAAGAACUCAGUAAAGGAA
Molecule: long non-coding RNA, 570 nt
Organism: Sorghum bicolor (sorghum)
Lineage: Eukaryota; Viridiplantae; Streptophyta; Magnoliopsida; Poales; Poaceae
Exons: 3
Source: RefSeq, a predicted model, not a curated record